RNAcentral lists this ribosomal RNA (2189 nucleotides) under Escherichia coli. RNAcentral's name for it is "partial 23S ribosomal RNA". It matches the Rfam family "Bacterial large subunit ribosomal RNA", at positions 613 to 2786 of the family's 2925-position model. Lineage: Bacteria; Pseudomonadati; Pseudomonadota; Gammaproteobacteria; Enterobacterales; Enterobacteriaceae. The record is from RNAcentral.
UAAUGGGUCAGCGACUUAUAUUCUGUAGCAAGGUUAACCGAAUAGGGGAGCCGAAGGGAAACCGAGUCUUAACUGGGCGUUAAGUUGCAGGGUAUAGACCCGAAACCCGGUGAUCUAGCCAUGGGCAGGUUGAAGGUUGGGUAACACUAACUGGAGGACCGAACCGACUAAUGUUGAAAAAUUAGCGGAUGACUUGUGGCUGGGGGUGAAAGGCCAAUCAAACCGGGAGAUAGCUGGUUCUCCCCGAAAGCUAUUUAGGUAGCGCCUCGUGAAUUCAUCUCCGGGGGUAGAGCACUGUUUCGGCAAGGGGGUCAUCCCGACUUACCAACCCGAUGCAAACUGCGAAUACCGGAGAAUGUUAUCACGGGAGACACACGGCGGGUGCUAACGUCCGUCGUGAAGAGGGAAACAACCCAGACCGCCAGCUAAGGUCCCAAAGUCAUGGUUAAGUGGGAAACGAUGUGGGAAGGCCCAGACAGCCAGGAUGUUGGCUUAGAAGCAGCCAUCAUUUAAAGAAAGCGUAAUAGCUCACUGGUCGAGUCGGCCUGCGCGGAAGAUGUAACGGGGCUAAACCAUGCACCGAAGCUGCGGCAGCGACACUAUGUGUUGUUGGGUAGGGGAGCGUUCUGUAAGCCUGUGAAGGUGGCCUGUGAGGGUUGCUGGAGGUAUCAGAAGUGCGAAUGCUGACAUAAGUAACGAUAAAGCGGGUGAAAAGCCCGCUCGCCGGAAGACCAAGGGUUCCUGUCCAACGUUAAUCGGGGCAGGGUGAGUCGACCCCUAAGGCGAGGCCGAAAGGCGUAGUCGAUGGGAAACAGGUUAAUAUUCCUGUACUUGGUGUUACUGCGAAGGGGGGACGGAGAAGGCUAUGUUGGCCGGGCGACGGUUGUCCCGGUUUAAGCGUGUAGGCUGGUUUUCCAGGCAAAUCCGGAAAACCAAGGCUGAGGCGUGAUGACGAGGCACUACGGUGCUGAAGCGACAAAUGCCCUGCUUCCAGGAAAAGCCUCUAAGCAUCAGGUAACAUCAAAUCGUACCCCAAACCGACACAGGUGGUCAGGUAGAGAAUACCAAGGCGCUUGAGAGAACUCGGGUGAAGGAACUAGGCAAAAUGGUGCCGUAACUUCGGGAGAAGGCACGCUGAUAUGUAGGUGAAGCGACUUGCUCGUGGAGCUGAAAUCAGUCGAAGAUACCAGCUGGCUGCAACUGUUUAUUAAAAACACAGCACUGUGCAAACACGAAAGUGGACGUAUACGGUGUGACGCCUGCCCGGUGCCGGAAGGUUAAUUGAUGGGGUUAGCGGUAACGCGAAGCUCUUGAUCGAAGCCCCGGUAAACGGCGGCCGUAACUAUAACGGUCCUAAGGUAGCGAAAUUCCUUGUCGGGUAAGUUCCGACCUGCACGAAUGGCGUAAUGAUGGCCAGGCUGUCUCCACCCGAGACUCAGUGAAAUUGAACUCGCUGUGAAGAUGCAGUGUACCCGCGGCAAGACGGAAAGACCCCGUGAACCUUUACUAUAGCUUGACACUGAACAUUGAGCCUUGAUGUGUAGGAUAGGUGGGAGGCUUUGAAGUGUGGACGCCAGUCUGCAUGGAGCCGACCUUGAAAUACCACCCUUUAAUGUUUGAUGUUCUAACGUUGGCCCGUAAUCCGGGUUGCGGACAGUGUCUGGUGGGUAGUUUGACUGGGGCGGUCUCCUCCUAAAGAGUAACGGAGGAGCACGAAGGUUGGCUAAUCCUGGUCGGACAUCAGGAGGUUAGUGCAAUGGCAUAAGCCAGCUUGACUGCGAGCGUGACGGCGCGAGCAGGUGCGAAAGCAGGUCAUAGUGAUCCGGUGGUUCUGAAUGGAAGGGCCAUCGCUCAACGGAUAAAAGGUACUCCGGGGAUAACAGGCUGAUACCGCCCAAGAGUUCAUAUCGACGGCGGUGUUUGGCACCUCGAUGUCGGCUCAUCACAUCCUGGGGCUGAAGUAGGUCCCAAGGGUAUGGCUGUUCGCCAUUUAAAGUGGUACGCGAGCUGGGUUUAGAACGUCGUGAGACAGUUCGGUCCCUAUCUGCCGUGGGCGCUGGAGAACUGAGGGGGGCUGCUCCUAGUACGAGAGGACCGGAGUGGACGCAUCACUGGUGUUCGGGUUGUCAUGCCAAUGGCACUGCCCGGUAGCUAAAUGCGGAAGAGAUAAGUGCUGAAAGCAUCUAAGC